Molecule: unclassified non-coding RNA, 253 nt
Filed under: uncultured Hymenobacteraceae bacterium
Lineage: Bacteria; Pseudomonadati; Bacteroidota; Cytophagia; Cytophagales; Hymenobacteraceae
Description: contains 16S-23S intergenic spacer region
Rfam family: Bacterial small subunit ribosomal RNA
Source: RNAcentral
UACGGAGGGUGCAAGCGUUGUCCGGAUUUAUUGGGUUUAAAGGGUGCGUAGGCGGCCUGGUAAGUCAGCGGUGAAAUCCCACGGCUCAACCGUGGAACUGCCGUUGAUACUGUCAGGCUUGAGUUCGGUCGAGGCGGGCGGAACUGGUGAUGUAGCGGUGAAAUGCAUAGAUACCACCAAGAACCCCGAUUGCGAAGGCAGCUCGCCGGGCCGAAACUGACGCUGAGGCACGAAAGCAUGGGGAGCGAACAGG